GGCACUGGAGCCCAGCUCUGGGCGCCCCCUCCAGCAGCUCUGGGAGCCGGGAGACGGCCACUGGGGCUGUGGACAGAGCGGGCGUUUGCCCAGACACGUGUUGCUCCUGGGGCAAGGCCCCGGGGCAGUCAGGAGCUCUGCAGGCUGCCCAUCCCUGGCUGCCAGGCUCAUGCCCACUGCCCUCUGGGUGCGUGCCGUGUGACUGUCCCCAAAGCCGCCAGCCAAGUGCGUGCCCUUCUCAGAGCCCCGUGUCCCCCAGAACCUGAGAGGGGAGGCUGGCUCCACAGGGAAAAGGGACAGCCCUGGGGGGACAGAGACGGUGGAAGAGGCACCCAAGAGCUCCAGGUCAGCUGCUCCUCCAGAACCCCGGCCUUGGGCUUCUGCUCAGGUUCAAGUUGUCCUCUCUGCCAGGUUCUCUUUGGUUGUUGGGUGUGAUCAGCAACUGACCAUCCCAUGCCAAAGGAUGGCAUGGUGCAACUGAAAUCCUGUGAGAGUUGCAGGAUUUAACGAAGCCAAUGAAAGGGGACACUGGAGGACUCUUCUAAUGCCACACAAAGUCCUAGACAAAUUCGAAACCUGGCAGAGGGCGGCUAGUUCACAACAGAAGAAGAGAAAAUUGGCAGCAAUGAGUCAUGACAGGAAACUUUCAUCAUUCUCCUGUCAGUGAAAUAUGAAAUGAAAAAAUGUCAUACCACGCUAGCAUCUAAUUUUGUUCAAAAAAAUUAUCCCCCUUAACCCAAUAAAUACUUGAUUUGCUCUUUGUUCAUUGAAA
This 772-nucleotide long non-coding RNA is filed under the name Equus asinus (donkey). RNAcentral describes it as "lncRNA (ENSEASG00005036577.1)". Lineage: Eukaryota; Metazoa; Chordata; Mammalia; Perissodactyla; Equidae. The record is from RNAcentral.